RNAcentral lists this ribosomal RNA (493 nucleotides) under uncultured bacterium. Its description in RNAcentral is "partial 16S ribosomal RNA". It matches the Rfam family "Bacterial small subunit ribosomal RNA", at positions 28 to 507 of the family's 1533-position model. The record is from RNAcentral.
GACGAACGCUGGCGGCGCGCUUAACACAUGCAAGUCGAACGGAAAGGCCUGCUUUCCCUUGUGGAUUGCGGGUACUCGAGUGGCGAACGGGUGAGUAACACGUGAGUGAUCUGCCCCCAACUUGGGUAUAAGCCUGGGAAACUGGGUCUAAUUCCCGAUAGGACUGCAGGGUGGUGCCUGUGGUGGAAAACGAUUUUCUAGUGGUUGGGAUGAGCUCGCGGCCUAUCAGCUUGUUGGUGGGGUAAUGGCCUACCAAGGCGGCGACGGGUAGCCGGCCUGAGAGGGUGGACGGCCACAUUGGGACUGGGAUACGGCCCAGACUCAGACGGGAGGCAGCAGUGGGGAAUAUUGCACAAUGGGCGGAAGCCUGAUGCAGCGACGCCGCGUGGGGGAUGACGGCCUUCGGGUGGUAAACUCCUUUCGACCGCGAGGAAGCCACCUGGUUGGAAGGGUGGUGACGGUAGUGGUAGAAGAAGCACCGGCUAACUACGUG